This 1230-nucleotide long non-coding RNA is filed under the name Homo sapiens (human). RNAcentral's name for it is "HSALNT0399366". Lineage: Eukaryota; Metazoa; Chordata; Mammalia; Primates; Hominidae. The record is from RNAcentral.
CUUGAACUCCUGGGUUCAAGUGAUCCUCCCACCUCGGGCUUCCAAACUGCUGAGAUUAUAGGCAUGAGCCACUGUGCCCGGCCUGAGAAGAGAGGAAUGUACCCAAUUUGUACAGAUGAUGAAUUAGAGCGGUUGUUAUCGAAUCUGCCACCAGAGGGCGAUCCAGGCUGAAGAUCUCUCUCUCUGCGGAAGCCAGCCACCGCUCUCCAAGGACUCUCGAGCAGCUCCAUCUACAGAUUCACAUGGAGAAGAAUUAAGGGUUCCUGCCAAUCACCAGCACCACUUUGCCAGCCUUGUAAGUGGGCCACCUUGGAAUUGGAGCCUCCAGUUCCUACUGACAUCUGACUGCAACAUCAUGAGAGACCCUGAGUUUGAACCACCCAGCUGAGCUGCUUCUGAGCUAACCCACUGAAACCGUUCCUUAGAUCCUGGGAUGAGGAGGUGGACCAGCAGAAGGUGGGCUUGUGAAGGCAGCCCGGGGUCCAAAUCCUCCUGGCUCUUCAGCUUAGCGGGUUAGUUAACAUUCAGAAGCCUUCAUCUCCCAUCUGCAAAAUGGGCAUGUCCAACUCAGAAGCUGCCUUGAAGAAAGGGUCUACCCAGCAUGGUGCGUGGAGCCUAAGCAGUCAGUACUUCAGGACUUCACCCGGCCCCUUUCCAAUAACUGCUGCUGUCGCCCUCACAGGAUGUCACCUUCAGCGUCUGAAAGCUGGGUUUGAUGCGUCUGGAAAGGCGUCCCUGACAGGCGUCGUUGCCAGGAGCCCCUAGUGCCACCAGCAGCCAGCAGGGGAGGGCGUCCUCUGCCCGCUCACUUCUGACCCUUCUCUCGUUGCACCCGGAACAUGGUGCAGCUGGGAGCAGCCUGGGCUGCGCGGAAGGCUCAGAUUUGGGGACGGCCCUUGCCAGUGACUGUGAGCUGGGGUGUCUUGGAAACUCCCAGUCUCAGCUUCUCCAUUUAUAAGAUGAGAAUGAUCAUACCAGACUCAGGCAAGGUUGUUUGUGCAUUAGUGAAAUCAGACGUAUUAAAUAAAGUACCACAUUGAUCGUGGAGUUGUUGAAUAACCAAGAACACGCCUAUCUGUCUCCAAAAAAUAAAUGUUGAAAAUGAUGAGGGCGUGGCUCUACGUUGGGAAGGGAAAUAGGGUGCUUGGAUGAGAGAAUCCUGAGGCAUGGGACAGUGGAGGGAUCCAGGAUAGUUCCAUAAGAAAAUGUGCUUGCACUAUCGUUUCUUUG